CGAAGAAAUGCAGAGAAGUAGAUGAGGUAUCGGUUUGAUUCUUGUUUUUUCUGCUCUUUCUUUUUCU
RNAcentral lists this non-coding RNA (67 nucleotides) under Palpitomonas bilix. The record is from RNAcentral.